This 567-nucleotide long non-coding RNA is filed under the name Oryza sativa aus subgroup. RNAcentral's name for it is "lncRNA OsNaBo_11g0017540". Lineage: Eukaryota; Viridiplantae; Streptophyta; Magnoliopsida; Poales; Poaceae. The record is from RNAcentral.
GAUCACCUUACAAUCCAAUGGCUCAGAUCACUCCCCAACGUCCCACGCGGCCACGCAACGAUCCCCUUUUGGUUUCUGCGCUCUCUCCCUCUGAAUCCCCUGAUUCCCCGAUCCCAUUCCCUUCCCCUUGCGAACUCUAGCGUCUUCCUCUCAAGCGCCGCCGCAGUCGUGUUGCCCCCUGAUCAUCCGCCGCCAGAUCGCCGUCUUUGCUGUCCUCUUAGGUGCAGCCGCUGCGCACACCCACGGUGCGCACCUCCCUUCCCCGGUUCCCCUGCCCAGUGCUGCCCCCCUCCCUUCACCGUGCAAAACCCUAAGCGCCGCCACUACAAGCAGGUACCUUUGCCGCCAGGAGAUCGCCCUCAUGUCACCUCGCUGCCGUCUCACCAGAUCAUCGACGCACCGCCUCGCCAUACCGGUCCGGCGUCGACUCUGCACACGCUUCAGGUCUACCACGACAACUCUUUCAAGGGGAUCAGGGCAGGACAGAAGGAACACUAUGACCAUGUCCCCAUGGCCCAUGUCCAUGUACGCAUCAAGCUCCUAAGUGAUAAUCUGAUUGCCUGCUGA